RNAcentral lists this long non-coding RNA (1657 nucleotides) under Physeter macrocephalus (sperm whale). Its description in RNAcentral is "Physeter catodon (sperm whale) lncRNA (ENSPCTG00005006304.1)". Lineage: Eukaryota; Metazoa; Chordata; Mammalia; Artiodactyla; Physeteridae. The record is from RNAcentral.
GCCGUAACGUAACAUGGCGGCGCCCGUGGCCGGCUCUCGAGGGCUGCGGAAGAUGACGUCAGCAGAGGAGAGGGCUGGCUCGGCCGAGCUGCGCCCCCUUCGGCCCUGAAGUGGACAGAAACCCGACGCGCGGGCUGGCGAGGGCUCCCCCCACUCCACGGGCGGGCGCCGGGGGGCGGCAAGGACGCCGGGGUCCCGCGCCGCUGGGAGCGAGGUUGUCGAGUGCUUUGUCCCAAGACAGGACUGAGUGAUGAUGCCCGCGGCUGCUCCACGUCCUCAGGCUCAGCUGCAGGCGGCGUUCUCCAGGCCGGCUUCCUUGCCUGCGCCCAGUGAUCUGUGUCAUAGCGUCCAGAAUCGGGCCAGCGCCUAGAGUCGGGCUAGUAUCUCUUGUGGACGAGGACAGCAAACUUGGAGCUUGGACCCAGACCUCAUCAUCUCCGGAAAGAGUACCUGUGCACGAGCCCCCCUUCAGAUCCCCCUCUGCCACCAGAGCCACGGGGCUCCAGCCUUUCCACUUCAUCCAGACCUGUGAGGGGAGAGGGUCAGGGAGCACCCAGUGCCUCACCCGUCUUCAGGUACCUGGGCGGUGGAGAGGUCAGCAGUCCAGACCCUUCCCAUCAGGGCCUGCUGUCCUUCGAGAUUGGAGUGAGGCCCAACUCUGCUUUUAGUUUACUUGAGUCAGUUUUUCUUCCUUCCGCCACCAAUCCCGAAGCUCAACGCUACGAUGUGUUGGAACUGUGUCCUGAUGUGUGUGUCAGACAUAAAGUAUUGUUACGUGUAUGUUGGUAUCUUUGGUGGACAGGUGAGAUCGUGCUGAUCUUGUAUCCACAUUUUAGCUUUCCAUCCCCCUAGGAUGCAACCCUCACCUUGCUUCCAGUUGCCCCACCCUAUGGACAGUCUACAGUGAGGACCCUCCAACGAGGCCCUCUCAGACCACAUGUAAGAGUCUGGGAGGUGCACGCCCCAGAGUCAGGGUGUUGGCCAAAGGUCACCAGGUAGUGUUAAAGAGGGCUGCUAAAAGUUCUCUAGGCAGGGGCUUCCCUGGUGGUGCAGUGGUUGAGAGUCCACCUGCCGAUGCAGGGGACACGGGUUCGUGCCCUGGUCCGGGAGGAUCCCACAUGCCGCGGAGCGGCUGGGCCCGUGAGCCAUGGCCGCUGAGCCUGCGCAUCCGGAGCCUGUGCUCCGCAACGGGAGAGGCCACAGAAGUGAGAGGCCCGUGUACCGCAAAAAAAAAAAAAAAAAGUUCCCUAGGCGGACUGUGCUGGUUCACCUCCCACAGUUGACACAGGCUUGUGAGAGCCAAUUGCUAAAUUUUCAGGAAUGUUAUAAGCUUGUCAUUAAACACUGCCAUUGUUAAAAAUGUAACUUCAGGGCUUUCCUGGUGGUGCAGUGGUUGAGAAUCCGCCUGCCAGUGCAGGGGACACAGGUUCAAGCCCUAGUCCAGGAAGAUCCCACAUGCCGCAGAGCAACUAAGCCCGUGUGCCACAACUACUGAGCCUGUGCUCUAGAGCCCGUGAGCCACAACUACUGGGCCCGUGUGCCACAACUACUGAAGCCCGUGUGCCUAGAGCCUGUGCUCCGCAACAAGAGAAGCCACCGCAAUGAGAAGCCCAUGCACCACAACGAAGAGUAGCCCCCGCUUGCCGCAACUAGAGAA